Molecule: long non-coding RNA, 715 nt
Filed under: Cyanistes caeruleus (blue tit)
Lineage: Eukaryota; Metazoa; Chordata; Aves; Passeriformes; Paridae
Description: lncRNA (ENSCCEG00000019994.1)
Source: RNAcentral
AUCAGAGGAAGAUUUUCAGCCUUUAGUGGAGUCAGAGGCGGAAAAAUCAAGGUUUGAGUGGUUCCAGGUGGAAAGGUUGAACCCCAGGGUGGUGUGCAGGGAGAAGAGACCUCAUGGAUUGGGGGGAACUGAAUCAAGCAGUGGAAAAGGAUCUGACCAGGUUGCUGCUGUUGUCUCGUGGCACUUUAAUAGCAAAUAAAAGUAAUCCAAGGCAGCCUCUUUCCCUGCAAAACAAAUUAACAAUAACAGAGAAUUAAUUUAGUGUCUUAAAAUAUCUGUAUAACCAACAUUCCAUUUGAAUUUCUUCUUACAGGUAUUGGAAAUUUGACUGAAGGCUACAUAUCAUGCACUGGAGAAGGGGCUUGCUGGAGCUGUUGAAGCUGCAUCACUGAGAGGGAGACCAGAAGCUCAGAGAGCUUGAAAGGGAAAGGUUUUAACUGCUCGUGGUAGAAGAACAGAAGGACUCUGUGGUGCCUUGAAAUUAAGCUCAAAUGGAUGCAAGGUAGCAUUGGCCAAAUACAGAGGAAGCUGGGAUUCUGUGUGCUGGCUGCUUAGUUCAUCUGUUGGCAAAUUCUGCUUGCUUGAAGUCCUGAUUGCUGGGAGACGAGGCUGUUUGCACUGGGCUUCGGAGAACCUGUCCUGCUCUUCCAUGCUCUGGUGCCAGAUUGGCAGCAAAGUUUGUGGUGGGCUGCUGUGGGUGGUGUCGAUACCCAGG